Molecule: ribosomal RNA, 440 nt
Filed under: uncultured bacterium
Lineage: Bacteria
Description: partial 16S ribosomal RNA
Rfam family: Bacterial small subunit ribosomal RNA
Source: RNAcentral
CCUACGGGAGGCAGCAGUGGGGGAUAUUGCACAAUGGGGGAAACCCUGAUGCAGCGACGCCGCGUGGGUGAAGAAGUAGUUCGGUAUGUAAAGCCCUAUCAGCAGGGAAGAAAGAAGACGGUACCUAACUAAGAAGCCCCGGCUAACUCCGUGCCAGCAGCCGCGGUAAUACGUAGGGGGCGAGCGUUAUCCGGAUGUAUGGGGUUUAAAGGGUGCGCAGGAGGAAGAUCAAGUCAGCGGUAAAAUGGAGAGGCUCAACCUCUUCGAGCCGUUGAAACUGGUUUUCUUGAGUGAGUGAGAAGUAUGCGGAAUGCGUGGUGUAGCGGUGAAAUGCAUAGAUAUCACGCAGAACUCCGAUUGCGAAGGCAGCAUACCGGCGCUCAACUGACGCUCAUGCACGAAAGUGUGGGUAUCGAACAGGAUUAGAUACCCGGGUAGUC